CCCUUAGAUGUUCUGGGCCGCACGCGCGCUACACUGAUGCAUUCAACGAGCCUAGCCUUGACCGAGAGGUCCGGGUAAUCUUUGAAACUGCAUCGUGAUGGGGCUAGAUUAUUGCAAUUAUUAAUCUUCAACGAGGAAUGCCUAGUAAGCGUGAUUCAUCAAAUCGCGUUGAUUACGUCCCUGCCCUUUGUACACACCGCCCGUCGCUCCUACCGAUUGAGUGUGUUGGUUAGGAGUUUGGAUUGGCCUCGGAAGGUGGUUCGCCACCGUCCGUAGCUGAGAAGUUCUCCAAACCGCCCCACUUAGAGGAAGGAGAAGUCGUAACA
RNAcentral lists this ribosomal RNA (326 nucleotides) under uncultured eukaryote. RNAcentral describes it as "partial 18S ribosomal RNA". It matches the Rfam family "Eukaryotic small subunit ribosomal RNA", at positions 1470 to 1796 of the family's 1831-position model. The record is from RNAcentral.